UAAUCCGUUAUCAGACUUAUCGCCCCGAAGUGUUGGUUUAGAAAUCGAGAUUACACAAUACUGUAAUAUCAUUUCACCACACAACUUUAUCAUUUGGUUGGUUUUAGAAGAACGGGUUGAAAAAUUAAAUAAAUUAAAAACGAUUGUACUGUUUUUGCUAGUACAUCGAAUCGAUAAAAAAAAAGGAUCAGCGAGACAAAAUCAAAUCAAACACGUUAUCGAAGCUUAGUUUCCUUCAAGCAAGUACGCAUAACGAGGACUCGAAUAAUUCUACACAAUCUUCAUAAGAACCGGUGAAAUACGUAAUUAUUGUUAGUUUUAGAAUGAAAUUGCAGAGAAAAAUAGUCCUGUACUAAAAAUGAAAACAAAAAAUCAAGUUCGAUUAUAUUUUACACUGUAAAAACUCGAUACACAUACACACCGAUAUUCGAAUAGGAAAAAUAAAUGGCUACUUGAUUAAGAAUUCCAUUAUACCUAGGUAGAAACACCAAUUUAAUAGAAGAUGCGAACUAUUUAUAAAUGAAUUAGAAACUUCGCAUAUGUACGGACUCAAUAGCGCAUAUCGCAAUUAACGCAAUUAUGUACGUUAAUUGAUAUGUUAUAUAUACACAAUGAUCGUGUGACACGUGCGAAUAAUAUCAGAGUGUUACAAGUAUCGCAAAUAUUUGUGCUUACUGGAAACCAUAUCUACCUCCUUUUAAUUUACACGCGAAUUCUAAAUCAGACAUUUUUCAUUUUCCAUUUCCAAGAUUUUCAUGCCGGUACAAGAACUGAAUGCCGCAAACACGG
Molecule: long non-coding RNA, 789 nt
Organism: Diprion similis
Lineage: Eukaryota; Metazoa; Arthropoda; Insecta; Hymenoptera; Diprionidae
Exons: 3
Source: RefSeq, a predicted model, not a curated record